This 305-nucleotide ribosomal RNA is filed under the name uncultured bacterium. RNAcentral describes it as "partial 16S ribosomal RNA". It matches the Rfam family "Bacterial small subunit ribosomal RNA", at positions 508 to 807 of the family's 1533-position model. The record is from RNAcentral.
ACAGCAGUAGCCGCGGGAAUACGGAGGGUGCAAGCGUUAAUCGGAAUUACUGGGCGUAAAGCGCACGCAGGCGGUUUGUUAAGUCAGAUGUGAAAUCCCCGGGCUCAACCUGGGAACUGCAUUUGAAACUGGCAAGCUAGAGUCUCGUAGAGGGGGGUAGAAUUCCAGGUGUAGCGGUGAAAUGCGUAGAGAUCUGGAGGAAUACCGGUGGCGAAGGCGGCCCCCUGGACGAAGACUGACGCUCAGGUGCGAAAGCGUGGGGAGCAAACAGGAUUAGAUACCCCAGUAGUCCCUGUCUCUUAUAC